UUGAGCAUUCUAACUCUGGAGGACCCUGUUCAUGUUGGACGGGUUUUGAAUGACAGACUGUCUGUGCCUGGAUACCACCCCUGGGGUUUGCAGCAGUGUACGAGUAGCCUGCAUGGGUCACUGGUUACUUCUACAAAUGCAGGAUUUCAGGUCACAUGGCUGUGACAGGAAAUGGAAAUGAAGCAACAUGGAAGAAGGAGGUGCCUCAACAUCAUGACGCUCCUGGUUUGAUGAACCUUGGCAGGUUUUAUGGU
Long non-coding RNA from Hypanus sabinus (Atlantic stingray), 254 nucleotides. RefSeq lists it as uncharacterized. The record is from RefSeq and is a predicted model, not a curated record. The transcript has 2 exons. NCBI's taxonomy places the organism in Eukaryota, Metazoa, Chordata, Chondrichthyes, Myliobatiformes, Dasyatidae.